UUGAUAACUGUCCAAUUACUAUUUUAUUGAAGUUCUUAACUCAUUCGUCGUCUCCCUCGUGGUAUUUGCACCCACUUCUUUUUCUUUAGCGUUUCUUGUUUUUCUUACGCAAAGAAACCAAUUGACCUCACUUAAAUCGUAGCGCGAGUGAUAAUAUCGUACGAAAAGCCGAAUCGUCUAACUGAAAUCAUGAUGACCUUUUCACGUCAGAUCGUAAUCGGAUAGAUACCGGACGCAAGCGAGCAGCAAACGUUCCCAGACUUCUCCUACUCUCAACUCAAGAGUUUCACAGUCGUGGUUUUGUUUAUGCGAUAGUCCGUGUGGGUGGACUGUAAACGUGUAUGUAUGUACGUGCGUGCGUGCCUGUGCACCACAUGACACGAGACUGAUACGUCGUCUCAGAAGUGUUGCCAUCCUGUAACGGCGAACCGCCGCCGUACUGAGCCCACUCAGCCCAGUGAAGCUGAGUUCUUUCUCAAACAGUUGUUGUUGUUACAAUCCACCGCAGUUAUGUGGCAACCUUGGUUGAGAGUGACUCUCUUGUCACUCCUGGCGCUGAUGCCGUCCAUGUUGUCUGUGGUUUUGUUGUGGUACUUCGAGGUAUUAAACAGAGGAGGGCCACUUAUUAUAGUCCUGCUUGUACCAGCUCUGGGCUGGUAUGUCACACAACUGAUCAAGAUCAGUCACAACCGAAGGGAAACAGGACAGGUCGGGACGAGCUCGGAUCCACCGCCGAGGUACGAGAAGGUCAUGGCAGAGCCUCCGCCCUACGAUACCCUUUACUCUGAGAAGCCUCCUGCGAAGGCGUCGUCGAUUGCCAGCAUCAAACCGUCCAGAAUUUCGGAUAAACUGCGACCCACCUCUCGAUUCUGCGACGCGGUAGUCACGAUUUCCCUGGCCAACACGCAUUUUUUCCCCCCGGAACCCAGCGACCGUGGUGGUGUCUCGAUGAGUGGCUCCGUCGAAGUGGAAAACGAACCUCUUAUCGUCAAUACCAUCUUGGAAAGCGGCGACUUAACGAUUUCAGCUGUGGACGAGAGGCAUGACCCUGAUUUACCCUCUUAUCAGGAUGCCGUUAGGACAGCUGCCGCGGCAAUGCCGUGAAUACCUCAGGGCCAUCUGAGAAUGUGGCCGACUUGUGUGUUUCGUGCAGUGAUGUUGGCUGAGGAAUAUCUCGGGGUUCGGGGUAUAGUGUAGUGACGUGACUUAUUUGCGUCCCAAAAGAGACGCGUGAAUAGCUUUGUCUUUCGUGUGACUUAGAGGUGGACUCAUUUCACGGCAUUUUGUGUAUUUGUCGUUGCAAGGUAUUAAAGAAAUCUAUUUUUAUACUAACGACGGAAUUUGAAGGCGUAUUCACACGCACACGCAAGAACAAAGCACUGCGCUUUGUAUGUUUAAAAGGCGGUUACGUUAAUUAGAACAUUAUUGCAUCUUCAGAACGCUUGCUUACCCAGUUUCAGUGUAGCAGUGAAACGUGAUACAAAAGUGGGCAGCAAAAAGACUAGUUAUGCUAGUGAUUUCCUCGUGGAGUGUCUUAUACUGCGUUGAGAAUAUGGCUUAAUGAAUAAAUGUAAAGAAUAUGCCUUAAUGAAUAUAAUGUAGUUUAAGUAAGUAUAAUCCUUUACGCUCGCGGAUGAUAUAUAUAUCUCAAAUGUACCUGUAUCUAUUAGCUGUAAGUCUGUUCCUUACUCAAAAAUCACUUCCAAAUGGCGCUUCCUUUACUCAGAUUAUAGCCGCCCCCCCUUAAAAAUGUGCAAUAGGAUAACACUGUCUUAGCUGUCGUAAAAUAAGCAAUAAAAAUGUUUAUGGUGCAGAAAAAAA
This is a long non-coding RNA of Macrobrachium nipponense, 1821 nucleotides long. RefSeq lists it as uncharacterized. The transcript is spliced from 2 exons. NCBI's taxonomy places the organism in Eukaryota, Metazoa, Arthropoda, Malacostraca, Decapoda, Palaemonidae. The record is from RefSeq and is a predicted model, not a curated record.